UGGGUAAUAUUGGACACUGGGCGAAAGCCUGAUCCAGCCAUGCCGCGUGUGUGAAGAAGGUCUUCGGAUUGUAAAGCACUGUAAGUUGGGAGGAAGGGCAGUAAGCGAAUACCUUGCUGUUUUGACGUUACCGACAGAAUAAGCACCGGCUAACUCUGUGCCAGCAGCCGCGGUAAUACAGAGGGUGCAAGCGUUAAUCGGAAUUACUGGGCGUAAAGCGCGCGUAGGUGGUUCGUUAAGUUGAAUGUGAAAGGCCCGGGCUCAACCUGAGAACUGCAUCCAACACUGGCGAGCUAGAGUAGGGCAUAGGAUAGUGGAAUUUCCUGUGUAGCGGUGAAAUGCGUAGAUUUAGGAAGGAACGCCAGUGGCGAAGGCGACCACCUGGGCUCAUACUGACACUGAGGUGCGAAAGCGUGGGGUGCAAACAGG
This 429-nucleotide ribosomal RNA is filed under the name Pseudomonadota bacterium. Its description in RNAcentral is "Proteobacteria bacterium partial 16S ribosomal RNA". It matches the Rfam family "Bacterial small subunit ribosomal RNA", at positions 355 to 776 of the family's 1533-position model. The record is from RNAcentral. Lineage: Bacteria; Pseudomonadati; Pseudomonadota.